UAAGACUUGCAGGUCUCUAUCCUACAUCCUUUGAAUGCAACUCAAAAUCUUUUAUUAAGAUAAAGUCUU
Molecule: transfer RNA, 69 nt
Filed under: Oreobates quixensis (common big-headed frog)
Lineage: Eukaryota; Metazoa; Chordata; Amphibia; Anura; Strabomantidae
Description: tRNA-Ala
Source: RNAcentral